UGACAGAGCCAGGACUAGAGCUCAGGCCUCCCAUGCCACACCGUUAAAGUAGAGUGCUUUCAUUUAUAGCCCUGUCUGUAUUUGUAGGGCAGCUGAGGCAUUUCUGCAUUGGUAGCAAUCCUUUCAGCAAACCCGGGACUGCAAACUGCUUGAAACUCUUACCAGUGAUGCUCUCACUGACAAACAGGUGACUAAAUCAAGAAGGCCAACAGGUAUCGGGGAGGGCAGAGUGGCUGCCAAAUAAUGAACUGGAACCACAGUCUCAGAUUCACAGCAGCAUGUGUGGAAUGAACCUGCCGUGCCAGUGUCAGGCUUUUAGCCCAGCUGUGAGCACAGGGCCUUCCAGAUGUGACAUUUGACUUCCAGAGCAAGUUCAUCAGUGUCACCUGGCACAUAGUCAUUCCGGCAACAUUUCAACUCCAUUCCCUGCCAUGGUGCGGGGUAAGACCCAGGCAGCACGCCAAGACAGCAGGCCACUCCAGAAGCUGUUGUUUGAGAGCUGAAGGCAGGCUUCAAAGGCGUGCAGCUGGGGGUGACGGGAAAGCAGACUUCAGCGGCUGACAGGCCUGUCUGAGCAAAGCCCUCAGGAAUCAGGACUCUUUGAAUCAGAAGCUGAUGCCAUUUAGAUAGAAAUCUCAUGGUUAAAGGGGGGGGGGGGCUAGGAUGGGUGGAUUCAUACAAAAUAAAAAACCUGGGGGGAAAAAAAUCUCCUGGGUUAAACCACAAAAGUCAACAUGUUCUGCCAACUACAGAGAUGCUGAAGGGGUUACAGCAGUAAAAGACUCUGGGUCCCCUGCCCUUUCCAACCAAUCCAGAUACACAGACUAUUACCCAUUUUCAACACUUUCAAGGCCAACCUUUUCCACCCUUUCCGUGCAGUUAUGACUUGACCUGAGGUCGCCAGAGUUAAUCUCCACCUCUCGUAUGGAUAAAGGCAUCAGAAGGGAACAAUAGCGGGCAGGCAGUUUCUCACAGAGAAGCCAGAGGCAACUGGCUUCUAGAACAGACCAAACACCCUUUCCCCACUCCCUCACACAAUGAGAGUGAGUAUUUAGCACUCCUGGUCGGAUCAUUUGCCCCUGGUAGGAGAGUUAGCUUCCCCCCCUCCCCCAUCCCACCCUACUCCCGAGAAUCCCCUCUUGAUUGGAGAAGCAUGAAAAUAGGAAUAGGGAUAUUCCUGAUUCCAGAAACUUCUUUUCAAAAGGAAGCUUCUUGGCAACGUGAAAUGUAAGAUCCCAAUCUAUAAAACUCUGCUGAUGUACACGUCCUGGAUGCUGUCGCCCUUAGCCUUUUAGACACGCUGCAGUGUAUGGCUUCUUCCAGAUCAAUAACCAUGUAGCGGCCUAGGUGCUGACCUCGUAAAGUUAAAGAGGUCCCGUGAUUUACACAUGACAUGCUUUAGGGAAUGAUCUAUAUAGAAAAAUCUAUUCUCCUCUUGGAAUAUAUUAUAAAAUAAGCAAGCCUUUUCAUAAUAUUUAAACUCAGCUCUAAAAGUAGGCAAACGAAGAAUGCAACAGGUCUGCGAGGAACUCAGAGCAUGCUUGUUGAAUGAAUGAACUAAGGGAUGAAUGCAAUGCAAGGGGGAAAAGCUACACCUAACCACAGCAGAGCAAAACUCACACAGUCAUCUAGGGUAGGAAAGAGAUAUUCAUCCUGAACACAUAAGGAAUACGCCACAGAAAGGGAGACAGACAAAUGCAGAGGUGCCUCCUACAGGCAUGUCCUUCCAAGGAUAAUAAGAGGGAGCUAUCACUCAUUUCCAGGAAAUAUAAAAAAAAAAGAUUAGCCUAGAAGACUAUGGGUGUCACCCUGGCCUUUUCCUCUCCUGUUAACAUUGACUGCUUUUGUGUCUGUGUUCCCCAGAUGCUGGUACUUCCCUCUCUUCUCUGUGCUUUGUAUCCUUAUUUCUUAGGUGAGUAUUCUGUUGCUGUACCUUGGUUUUAUAGUCAGCUCUUGGCUUUCAUUUGGAUUUCAAAGUUUUAUAUCUGAAUCAAACUGUUGUUCUUUGCCACAGGGAUUUAAUUGCUCCCAAUACGCCUCCCAUAUUUUCAUUGUCCACGCUCUCUUCCAUAUGUUCUGUUUCCGGUUUUAGAUGAUCAUGCUUGAGAUCCCAAUCUCCGCUUCCUUAAGUUUAGAAAAUGCAAACUUGGCUGACAGAUACGGCUAAAAGCAUAGCUACACGUUACCUAAGGGUGGGUUAGAAUUCAGAAAUCUUAGCACACGCUAAUAGGGAAUUUUACUGAACACUUACUCUAUGGGCCUAGCACUGUAUCUGUUUCAUAAGAUAAAAUCAGCCACGUGCUGGAACUGGCUUAUACCAGCUCACAAAUGCGAAUUUUGCACCUCUCUUUCUAACACCCCGUUCAGUGACUUCAUGUCAGGAGCUUGAAAUCCACCAUGAUGGGGGUAUAUAUACAACAGAUAUCAACAAAUUCUACAAAACACAUUUUUUAAAAGAGACCCAGUUGUUUAACAUCUAUCAACACUGACACAACCUAAUUGUUUAACUUAAAAUUCAUCAUUUUUACAGUCCUGCUACUCAAUUGUUGCUGUGAGUGAGCACUAAAUACAUGGUAACUUAAGAUAUAAAAGUUAUUGAAGUAAGCAGAAUAUCCACGAGCCAGAAAUAUUUUAAAAAGACCUUUAAAGUCGUUUUCAGGCGGCACCAGGUAGUUAUUUUAUGCUGUAAAAUAAAAGAUAACAUUUCUUAAAUGCAAAUAUUUCUCCUACACAGCAUACUUACAAUCACAUUGUGAAGUCAAUAAAGGUUUAUUGGCGUUCCCGUCGUGGCACGGUGAUUAACGAAUCCGACUAGGAACCAUGAGGUUUCGGGUUCGAUCCCUGGCCUUGCACAGUGGGUUAAGGAUCCAGCAUUGCCGUCAGCUGUGGUGGUAGGUCACAAUCACAGCUCGGAUCCUGCGUGGCUGUGGCUGUGGCUGAGGUGUAGGCCGGCAGCUGUAGCUCCGAUUAGACCCCUAGCCUGGAAACCUCCAUAUGCCACGAGUGCGGCCC
This 3012-nucleotide long non-coding RNA is filed under the name Sus scrofa (pig). Its description in RNAcentral is "lncRNA (ENSSSCG00000053990.1)". The record is from RNAcentral. Lineage: Eukaryota; Metazoa; Chordata; Mammalia; Artiodactyla; Suidae.